This is a long non-coding RNA of Podarcis raffonei (Aeolian wall lizard), 1528 nucleotides long. RefSeq lists it as uncharacterized. The transcript is spliced from 3 exons. The record is from RefSeq and is a predicted model, not a curated record. NCBI's taxonomy places the organism in Eukaryota, Metazoa, Chordata, Lepidosauria, Squamata, Lacertidae.
AGGAGGAGGAAAGCAGAGCCGGGGAGCUCCAGGGCUUGUCAAGCUGGAGUUUGGGCCUUGGGAGAUGCUCCUUGUGUGCUUCUGUAGAAAAAGUUUCUUCUCCCUCUCUGAUAAUCUUCUUUGACGAUCACACGUAGCCAAGGCUCGUAGCUGGAUGAGGAACCCUGUGUUUGGGCAGAUCCCUCGGUUUGAAUCCACCGAUUUUAAGGCCUCCACGAGUGUCAGGUUUUCAUGGAUCAUCAAAUAAGCCAGCACUAAAGUGGCUGAGCGGCUUAACCCCAUGGCACAGUGGACAAAUACCUUGCCUGCAGAGAAAUAACAAAAGAACAGCAUUUAACUGAUGUGGAACAUAGAAGGUUAAGACCAGCGCUUCCCUCCCCACCCCACCCCAGCCGGAACUCAUUGCAACUCAGUUCUGGCUCCUCUCAGGUACACCCGUCUGAAGAUACCCUGGAAAACCAUUGAAGAGUCCAUGAUGGAGGCAGAAUGAGACUCUAUACAACACCCAGGGCCAAUGAUGAGAUGCAGUUCCUUCUGCUAAUUCUAUGUACUGGUGGUGAGCUUAAAAGCCCUGCAUUGGGUUAUCAUAAAAAGACAUCUACAAUGAGACACGAGUUACACAUGUUUAUGUAAAGUCAGCAUUGGCCAAUGAGAAGGUAAAGAUCAAGGUAAAGGACGCCUGGACAGUUAAGUCCAGUCAAAGUCCAGUCAAAGGUGACUAUGGGUUGCGGUGCUCAUCUUGCUUCAGGCCGAGGGAGCCGGCAUUUGUCAACAGACAGUUUUCUCGGUCAUGUGGCCAGCAUGACUAAACUGCUUCUGGUGCAACGGAACACUGUGACGGAAACCAGAGCGCACGGAAACGCUGUUUACCUUCUUGCCACAGCGAUACGUAUUUAUCUACUUGCACUGGCGUGCUUUCGAACUGCUGGGACAGAGCAAUGGGAGCUCACCCCAUCCUGUGGAUUUGAACCGCCAACCUUCUGAUCGGCAAGCCCAAGAGGCUCAGUGGUUUAGACCACAGCGCCACCCGCAUCCCUACAACGAGAUGCUUGAGUUAUGCAUGUUUAUGUACAACUUUGGCCAGUGAGAAGAUAGGUGGUUAAUCAACUUUUAAAAUUAUCAGACUGAUUGAUAUAGCCCAAUAACUUUUUAUAUAGGAUUUGGGAGAUGGGAAUAGCUUCCUGCUUUUUUCCAAACUGGCCCUGCUUCUGCACCUUCAACUUCGGCCAGACACGGAGAAAUUAAUCAAGCAACGCUUUCCAUGCCACUAUCACUACCCUAGGAAAAGUUUCACCUGCUCCAGUGCUAAGCUGCCAUCAAACACAUAGGAAGAGGUUCCUCAAAGAGUGACAACCCCACAUGUGCCACUCCUCCUCCUUUCCUGGAGAUCUAGUAUGGGGAAGCCCAUCCCUGAGCAAGAAAGACCAAUUAAGCAAAGCAUCCUUAAGUAGCUUUAAGCCCCUUGCUAAAUGCGGCAAGAUUAAAGGGAACAGCAGCAGCUUUGGGCCCACGCAGCUGGCAACCCAGU